RNAcentral lists this ribosomal RNA (497 nucleotides) under uncultured bacterium. RNAcentral's name for it is "partial 16S ribosomal RNA". It matches the Rfam family "Bacterial small subunit ribosomal RNA", at positions 28 to 507 of the family's 1533-position model. The record is from RNAcentral.
GAUGAACGCUGGCGGCGUGCCUAAUACAUGCAAGUCGAGCGAACAGACGAGGAGCUUGCUCCUCUGACGUUAGCGGCGGACGGGUGAGUAACACGUGGAUAACCUACCUAUAAGACUGGGAUAACUUCGGGAAACCGGAGCUAAUACCGGAUAACAUGUUGAACCACAUGGUUCAACAGUGAAAGACGGUCUUGCUGUCACUUAUAGAUGGAUCCGCGCCGCAUUAGCUAGUUGGUAAGGUAACGGCUUACCAAGGCAACGAUGCGUAGCCGACCUGAGAGGGUGAUCGGCCACACUGGAACUGAGACACGGUCCAGACUCCUACGGGAGGCAGCAGUAGGGAAUCUUCCGCAAUGGGCGAAAGCCUGACGGAGCAACGCCGCGUGAGUGAAGAAGGUCUUCGGAUCGUAAAACUCUGUUAUUAGGGAAGAACAAAUGUGUAAGUAACUAUGCACGUCUUGACGGUACCUAAUCAGAAAGCCACGGCUAACUACGUG